AUCAGUCAUCACACAUUGGCAGCUAAUAGUAACAAUUAAUCAGUAACGAUCUCAGAUCAAAAAAUGGCGCGCAAGGCUAUCAUCGUGUUCGCUCUUGUCGUCGUUGCUGCUUUGUGCCUCGUCGCCUCCGCCCAAGACCCUCAGGCUAACAAGCAGGGUGGUGGCGGACCACCAGGCUACGGGCACUACCCGCCGUGGAACGGCGGUUACCCAGGGCGUCCCGACCGGCCGUGGGACCGCCCUGACCGGCCAUGGGACCACCGCCCUCACCCUGGUCCCGGUGGCCACUGCCGUUGGGGGUGCUGCGGCCACCGCAACCACUGGGGGGAGUGCCUCCGCUGCUGCUAAGCUAUAUAGCUCCACCACUCCACAGCUCAAGAUCAACCAUGUCGAUCGGUGACACAAUUACAUACUAUCUACUAUGAUUAAUAAGUAGUAAAUAAUAAAGGAAUAAAUACACGUACACAUACGUGCGGCUGAUCUAGAAACACACAGUUAUAGUACUGUGUGCACUCCUGCAAGGCUAUGUACGUACGUGCGCGUGCGUGUGUGACAGUCGUGUCUUGUUGUAUUUUUCUUUUUUUUCCUUGUAUGUGUCGAUGUCUCGUCAGUGUGUGGCUUUGUGAUGUAAUAAUAUAUACUCCCUCCGUUUUGUUAGUUGAUGCUCUAGUUCAUUCUGAAAUU
Molecule: long non-coding RNA, 684 nt
Organism: Oryza sativa Japonica Group (Japanese rice)
Lineage: Eukaryota; Viridiplantae; Streptophyta; Magnoliopsida; Poales; Poaceae
Source: RefSeq, a predicted model, not a curated record